CAGUAGCCGCGGUAAUACGUAGGGUGCAAGCGUUAAUCGGAAUUACUGGGCGUAAAGCGUGCGCAGGCGGUUCGUUAAGACAGAUGUGAAAUCCCCGGGCUUAACCUGGGAACUGCAUUUGUGACUGGCGGGCUAGAGUAUGGCAGAGGGGGGUAGAAUUCCACGUGUAGCAGUGAAAUGCGUAGAGAUGUGGAGGAAUACCGAUGGCGAAGGCAGCCUCCUGGGCCAAUACUGACGCUCAUGCACGAAAGCGUGGGGAGCAAACAGGAUUAGAUACCCCUGUAGUCCCUGUCUCUUAUAC
RNAcentral lists this ribosomal RNA (301 nucleotides) under uncultured bacterium. RNAcentral's name for it is "partial 16S ribosomal RNA". It matches the Rfam family "Bacterial small subunit ribosomal RNA", at positions 509 to 807 of the family's 1533-position model. The record is from RNAcentral.